RNAcentral lists this ribosomal RNA (405 nucleotides) under uncultured bacterium. RNAcentral's name for it is "partial 16S ribosomal RNA". It matches the Rfam family "Bacterial small subunit ribosomal RNA", at positions 28 to 526 of the family's 1533-position model. The record is from RNAcentral.
GACGAACGCUGGCGGCGUGCCUAAUACAUGCAAGUAGAACAGUUGCGAACAGGUGAGUAACGCGUAGGUAACUGCGUCAUAAAGGGGGGUAAAUAUUGGCAAAGCUAGCUCAUAGCGCAUACUGUAAGCUGUACCUGCGUUGUAUUAGCUCGUUGGUGGGGUAAAGGCUCACCAAGGCGACGAUACAUAGCAGGCCUGAGUGGGUGAGCGGCCACACUGUGACUGAGACACGGCCCAGACUACUACGGGAGGCAGCAGUAGGGAAUCUUCGGCAAUGGACGGAAGUCUGACGAAGCAACGCCGCGUGAGUGAGGACGGUUUUCGGAUCGUAAAGCUCUGUUGUUAGAGACGCGGUAACUAAAUAGAAAGGCACGGCUAACUACGUGCCAGCAGCCGCGGUAAUAC